RNAcentral lists this transfer RNA (72 nucleotides) under Asanoa ferruginea. RNAcentral describes it as "tRNA-Asn". It matches the Rfam family "tRNA". From Rfam's summary of the family: Transfer RNA (tRNA) molecules are approximately 80 nucleotides in length. The record is from RNAcentral. Lineage: Bacteria; Bacillati; Actinomycetota; Actinomycetes; Micromonosporales; Micromonosporaceae.
UUCGGUGUCGGGUAAUUGGUAGCCCAGCGGCCUGUUAAGCCGCCUGUCCUGGUUCGAGUCCAGGCACCGAAG